This is an RNA transcript of Chionomys nivalis (European snow vole), 4942 nucleotides long. It is a transcript of the gene named phosphodiesterase 7A, with no coding region annotated. The transcript has 15 exons. The record is from RefSeq and is a predicted model, not a curated record. NCBI's taxonomy places the organism in Eukaryota, Metazoa, Chordata, Mammalia, Rodentia, Cricetidae.
UACGCCGGGCUCGCGCCGGCGGCGGAGUGGAGUGAGGCUCGGGGGAGGGGAGGGGCAGGGCUCCGGCGGUCGAGCUUGCUCGCUGCUCCGCGCCCCCAGUGGUCCCGGCCCCGGACCGCUCGCUCGCUCACUGGCGCGCCGCGGUGCCCCGGGGCGGCUCGGUUCCCCUUUAAACGCCGCUCGGCCCCCUCGGCUCCCGAUCGCCCGCUGCAGCCCUUCCCGCCGCCAGCCUCGCGGAGGGCUGGGAGGCGACCGCGAUCGUCUGCGCCGCCCGCCCGGCGCGCGCCUCGGUCCCGGGUCCCCGCGGCGCGGCCCCCUCGCAGCGCAGGGGCGGGCGGGCGACCGCGGAGUGGCGGGCGCCGCGCGGAGGCAAGGCGGGCGUGUUCAAUGGAAGUAUGCUACCAGCUGCCGGUGCUGCCCCUGGACAGGCCGGUCCCCCAGCACGUCCUCAGCCGCCGAGGAGCCAUCAGCUUCAGCUCCAGCUCCGCGCUCUUCGGCUGCCCGCAUCCCCGGCAGCUCUCGCAGAGACGUGGAGCUAUUUCCUAUGACAGUUCUGACCAGACUGCGUUAUAUAUUCGUAUGCUCGGCGAUGUCCGCGUAAGGAGCCGAGCAGGAUUUGAAGCAGAAAGAAGAGGUUCGCACCCUUAUAUCGACUUCCGUGUUUUCCACUCUCAAUCUGAAAUUGAAGCAUCAGUCUCCGCCAGGAACAUCAGAAGACUACUAAGUUUCCAGCGCUAUCUCAGAUCCUCGCGCUUUUUUCGGGGCGCCACAGUUUCUAGUUCUCUAAACAUUCUAGAUGACGAUUAUAAUGGACAAGCCAAGUGUAUGCUGGACAAAGUUGGAAACUGGAAUUUUGAUAUCUUUCUCUUUGAUAGACUAACAAAUGGAAACAGUCUAGUAAGUUUAACCUUUCAUUUAUUUAGUCUUCAUGGAUUGAUUGAGUACUUCCAUUUAGAUAUGGUGAAACUCCGUCGAUUUUUAGUUAUGAUUCAAGAAGAUUACCACAGUCAAAAUCCUUACCACAAUGCAGUCCAUGCUGCGGAUGUUACUCAGGCCAUGCACUGUUACCUAAAGGAACCUAAGCUUGCCAAUUCUGUAACCCCUUGGGAUAUCUUGCUGAGCUUAAUCGCAGCUGCCACUCAUGAUCUGGAUCACCCGGGUGUUAAUCAGCCUUUCCUUAUUAAAACCAACCAUUAUUUGGCAACUUUAUACAAGAACACCUCAGUCCUGGAGAACCACCACUGGAGAUCGGCCGUGGGCUUGCUGAGAGAAUCGGCUUUGUUCGCGCAUCUGCCACUGGAGAGCAGGCAACAGAUGGAGACCCAGAUAGGUGCUUUGAUACUAGCCACAGACAUCAGCCGCCAGAACGAGUACCUGUCAUUGUUUAGAUCUCACUUGGACAGAGGUGACUUACACCUUGACGAUGGCAGACAUCGGCAUUUGGUUCUACAGAUGGCCUUGAAAUGUGCUGACAUCUGUAACCCCUGUCGGAGCUGGGAGCUAAGCAAGCAGUGGGGUGAAAAAGUGACGGAGGAAUUCUUCCACCAAGGAGACAUAGAAAAAAAGUACCAUUUGGGUGUGAGUCCACUUUGUGAUCGUCAAACUGAGUCUAUUGCCAACAUCCAGAUUGGGUUUAUGACCUACCUGGUGGAGCCGUUAUUUACGGAGUGGGCCAGGUUUUCGGAUACACGGCUGUCACAGACAAUGCUCGGCCAUGUGGGGCUGAAUAAAGCCAGCUGGAAGGGACUGCAGAGACAACCGCCCGGCAGCGAGGAUGCGAACGCUGCCUUUCAGCUCAACUCACAGUUACUAACUCAGGAAAAUCGGUUAUCCUAACCCUGAACCAGUGGGAACAGCUCCCUCCUGCAAGAUUGUGGAAAUGUGAAAGGGGUCUCGAGGUGAAGAACUGGUUUCCAAGGAAAUGAUGCCAGCCUUAUUAUUGAGGUUUCUUCUGUUGGAUCAUUGGAGCCCACUUUUUAAUGAUAAGACCUGAAUACACAGCAAUAUGCAUCUGGCUUUCGUGUGAAACCUUGAAUAUGCAAAGCUCAGCAGGUGAACCAGAAAGGAUUAUCAAAGGAAGAUUUGCUACGCGCGUUUCCUUCGAGCCCAGCAGAAUCUCGAUCUGACCUGCCCGAUUCCACAAACCAUCUGCCCCUUCCACUAUGUUCUCUCUGAGAAAACAGAAAUGUGAAGCGCCCAGCCUCUGCUGCCUCUGGCAAGACUCAAUGUUUACAAAUCAACUCUGAAAUACUGGUUCUAAAUUGCCUUGGAGCAUGAUUGUGAAGGGACCACCGAGACAGUCCCAGCUCCAGCUGGGGACUGCAGCUGUCCAGUGGUUUGCCUUUUUCUUCUUUGGAUGCCCUCAGAGCCUCCCUUUCCUUCGCUGUUUUGUCUUUUGCGCUGGAGAGGGAGCAGCUGUCACACAGCACCAAGCACUUCACUCCAGUGCUGUUUGGCACUGUAGAUUUUUAACUCUUGGUUUUUCCUCUGGGGCGGGAGGGCCGGAACACCGGUGUCCCAGCUGUAUCCUGACUCUGAAGACACUGCAUGUUGUUUUCACUACUGUACACGUGACCUGCACAUGCAAGGAAAAGGUGGAAUGUUUAACACACCAUAAUCAGCUCAGGGUAUUUGCCGAUCUGAAAUAAAGUGGGAUGGGGAAGUGUGUCCUUCAGACCAAGGGAACUAAGUCCCUUUUGCUGCAGUGCGUGAGAGGGUCUCCCUAGUCUCAGAUGGCCUGUUAACAGUGUAGACACCUGGCCUCAAACUCACACGGAUCUCCCCACUUGUCUCCUGGGAUUUAAGGCAAAUCUCCUUGGGAAGCCAAAUUAGGAGCAGCUGGUUUACUCAGUGAGCAAGGACUCUGAGCAAGGGACGCGUUUCCUCAUGCACCCAUCUCCCUGUGGGGAUACCUGCUGAUACCCAUAGCUGUGGACUGGGGUACCCUCUUCCCUCGGAUGCUCUAGGGGCUCUCUGCCACAGUUGUUUCUACACGGUAGCUUGACUGGUAACUCUGUUAGACCUGCCUGUUACUUCCUUCAGCCUUUUCUCUGCCUGGGGUGGCUGUUGACUUCUGCCCUGACUAUGCUGGUCUUUGACAAGGUGUAGCUUUCCUCUCUCCAGCUUCUCAAAGGGAAACCAAUGAUCUCCCGGAUCUUCUUAGAGCUGUGUGGGAAUUACCUGCCACCCUCCUGCUUCUUCGACAUUCAAGUCACAUUUUUUAAAAAAAAAAUAAAUAAAAAAGUAAGCAAAUACAUAGUGCAAAAUUCAUGACAUUUCAAAAGAAAUUGGAUACUUAAAAGAAUUUUUGAGGAUGUAGCAUCCAUUUGGGAGUCUGGGCCCAGUGCUGAAGAGGGGGUAGGUGAGAAAAUUUUAACAAGUCCUACCUAAACCACAAAUCUGGUUCCUCAUUAAUAUUUGUACUUUAAACAUAAUGCUUUGUAACAAGGCUCUUUGUAUUUUUUUUAAAAAAAUCAAAAUUCUAUAUUUUUGUCCUCUGUGAACCUGGAAAAAAAUCCCCUAUACCUGAGGUAUAGGUUAGAGGUGCUAGUGAUUCCUUUAUGGUUCAGAAAUGGUCUUUUUCCACAAUGCUUUUUGAUGUUUGUUUCCUAUUUAAGACCUAAAAAUCAUACUGCUUUAAAAGGAACGUGCAAAAAAACUAGUUAGCCCAUCUCCAGUGUGUAUUUGCAACGUAAGCUGCACUGGAGAUUUGGUCUGCAGCCAUUCCCUAAGAACCUGCAGGCAUUGGGAGGACCCCAAACAUGGGCUUCAGGAGGAUAACCACCACCGCAGGCCAACACAGGGAUGAGCUGACAGGAACAUACAUGGUCUCUUCUGUUCUUCAGUGUGCAUGGAGUAGGGUGGAUGUGAACUGGGCCAUCGGUAAACAGAUUACUGUGUAAUGUACCCUUUAGCUAGGAGUGGUUUGGUAGUACUGAAGUUGUAUAGUAAACAAUGUCUGGAUCCUGUUGUGUGUCGAACAUGGCGCUGGGAGUUAACAAUUUGAAAGAGCAUUAAAAGUUACAAGCCAGGGUCUCACUGCGAUUGGUUUUCAGAGUUGUGUACGAAGGUGGAACUGGAGCACUGCUUGAGAGACAGGCUUGAGGACCUAACUAGCACCGUCCGUAUCUCUAAAUACCGAAAUCGCUCGGCAUUCAAAUUUGAUUAAAGAAUACAGUUUUAAGUAUUCAAAAUGAGUAAAAUACUGACUUUAUCAAUUACAUUUUAAAUUUUCAUGGCUAAGCUUUGUAAGUUACCCCGGACUCCAUUUUUAGAAUCUGGUAGGAUGAAAGAGGAAAGAGAAAUGCCAUUAUUUUCAGUAUUCAGCCUCUUGUUGGCUCUGAACUUACAACUGAAACCUGCUGACUUAGUCAUUUACGGUUUUUAGUUGAUUCAGUAGUCUCUGUUAAAAAAAAUCCAUCUUGUUUUUAAGCCCUCUCUUCCACCCGUGUAUGUGUGUAUGUGUGUAAUAAAUUUAAAAUAUUUUUUCACUGUUUGGACAUGUCAUAAAAAUUUCAGAAAACUGUAAUUAAUGUAUCACAGUUUCUUAUCUUAAAUUUAUAAAAAAUAUAAAGUUUUGAAGGAAACAUCAAAGUCUGCCUGUGGGUUUUCUUCAGGUGCGGAAGCACAGGACAGCUCACGACUGGAAACAAGUACGAUCAGGAGCCAGGAUGGCUGUUCCAGGAGGGGCUUCUUUCUCACCUUGUAGACUGGCUAACUUAGUUUAUCCUCAUGUGGCCAUUGGAAGAAUGGGUUAAUAAUUUCUUACUCUGAGAAGAACACUGAUCCUAUCGUGAAUCUCAAAUGAGUUAAGGCCUUGCGUUCCUAGGUGUUGGGACACGCCCAAUGGCAGAGCUCUUGUCUCCAUGCAGAAGGCUCCCGUCUGUGUUAAAGUGAACAUUAACAGAAACUGGAUUUUCCAUCUGAGAAGGGGCUAAGUGUU